Molecule: ribosomal RNA, 490 nt
Filed under: uncultured bacterium
Lineage: Bacteria
Description: bacterial SSU rRNA
Rfam family: Bacterial small subunit ribosomal RNA
Source: RNAcentral
GGCUCAGAUUGAACGCUGGCGGCAUGCCUUACACAUGCAAGUCGAACGGUAACAGGGAGCUUGCUCCGCUGACGAGUGGCGAACGGGUGAGUAAUAUAUCGGAACGUGCCCUAGAGUGGGGAUAACUAGUCGAAAGAUUAGCUAAUACCGCAUACGAUCUAAGGAUGAAAGUGGGGGAUCGCAAGACCUCAUGCUCGUGGAGCGGCCGAUAUCUGAUUAGCUAGUUGGUAGGGUAAAAGCCUACCAAGGCAUCGAUCAGUAGCUGGUCUGAGAGGACGACCAGCCACACUGGGACUGAGACACGGCCCAGACUCCUACGGGAGGCAGCAGUGGGGAAUUUUGGACAAUGGGCGCAAGCCUGAUCCAGCAAUGCCGCGUGAGUGAAGAAGGCCUUCGGGUUGUAAAGCUCUUUUGUCAGGGAAGAAACGGGUUGAGCUAAUAUCUUGGCCUAAUGACGGUACCUGAAGAAUAAGCACCGGCUAACUACGUG